GGGUUUCGGCUCGUAAAACUCUGUUAUCGGAGAAGAAUAGGGGUAAGAGUAACUGUUUACCUCCUGACGGUAUCCGACCAGAAAGCCACGGCUAACUACGUGCCAGCAGCCGCGGUAAUACGUAGGUGGCAAGCGUUGUCCGGAUUUAUUGGGCGUAAAGCGAGCGCAGGCGGUUUUUUAAGUCUGAUGUGAAAGCCUUCGGCUCAACCGAAGAAGUGCAUCGGAAACUGGGAAACUUGAGUGCAGAAGAGGACAGUGGAACUCCAUGUGUAGCGGUGAAAUGCGUAGAUAUAUGGAAGAACACCAGUGGCGAAGGCGGCUGUCUGGUCUGUAACUGACGCUGAGGCUCGAAAGUGUGGGUAGCAAACAGGAUUAGAUACCCUGGUAGUCCACACCGUAAACGAUGAAUGCUAAGUGUUGGAGGGUUUCCGCCCUUCAGUGCUGCAGCUAACGCAUUAAGCAUUCCGCCUGGGGAGUACGACCGCAAGGUUGAAACUCAAAGGAAUUGACGGGGGCCCGCACAAGCGGUGGAGCAUGUGGUUUAAUUCGAAGCAACGCGAAGAACCUUACCAGGUCUUGACAUCUUUUGCCAGCCUAAGAGAUUAGGUGUUCCCUUCGGGGACAAAAUGACAGGUGGUGCAUGGUUGUCGUCAGCUCGUGUCGUGAGAUGUUGGGUUAAGUCCCGCAACGAGCGCAACCCUUAUAAUUAGUUGCCAGCAUUCAGUUGGGCACUCUAGUUAGACUGCCGGUGACAAACCGGAGGAAGGUGGGGAUGACGUCAAAUCAUCAUGCCCCUUAUGACCUGGGCUACACACGUGCUACAAUGGAUGGUACAACGAGUCGCUAGACCGCGAGGUCAUGCUAAUCUCUUAAAACCAUUCUCAGUUCGGAUUGUAGGCUGCAACUCGCCUACAUGAAGCUGGAAUCGCUAGUAAUCGCGGAUCAGCACGCCGCGGUGAAUACGUUCCCGGGCCUUGUACACACCGCCCGUCACACCAUGAGAGUUUGUAACGCCCAAAGCCGGUAGGGUAACCUUUUAGGAGCCAGCCGUCUAAGGCGGGACAGAUGAUUAGGGUGAAGUCGUAACAAGGUAGCCGUAGGAGAACCUGCGGCUGGAUCACCUCCUUUCU
This 1130-nucleotide ribosomal RNA is filed under the name Agrilactobacillus composti DSM 18527 = JCM 14202. Its description in RNAcentral is "SSU rRNA". It matches the Rfam family "Bacterial small subunit ribosomal RNA", at positions 413 to 1533 of the family's 1533-position model. Lineage: Bacteria; Bacillati; Bacillota; Bacilli; Lactobacillales; Lactobacillaceae. The record is from RNAcentral.